AUGUACCACCACUUGUACACUCACUACCCUGUAGAAACUACUACCUUAGGAACCGCUUCUGUAGAAAGUACUACCCCCUUCACCACUUCUGAAGAAACGACUACCCUUGGCACCACUUCUGUUAAAACUACACCUUCAGUUAGUUCAACGCAAGUAGUAUUGGAAACAUCCACAUUUGAAAUGAGACCUGCUGAAACAACAACCUCAGUUGUGUCUACACCUGGCAUAGCAUCUGCUGGUGGAAGCACAAUGUAUCAAGCUGCCACUUGGCACCACCACUGCAGACACCACUAUCAUUGGCACCACUUGUGUGAUAAAAACAACUAUGACAGAUACCGAUUCCUUAGAAUGUACCACCACUUGUACACGCUCUACCCUGUAGAAACUACUCCUGCAGAAACUACUGCCCUUGGCACAACUCCUGAAAAAACUACUACUCUGGGCACCACUUUUAAAGAAACUACUACCCUUGGACCUGCUUCUAUUAAAACUACACCGUCAGUUAGUUCAACGGGAUUAGUAUUGGAAACAUCCACAUUUGAAAUGAGACCUGCUGAAACAACCUCAGUUGUGUCUACACCUGGCAUAGCAUCUGCUGGUGGAAGCACAACGUAUCAAGCUGCCACUUGGCACCACCACUGCAGAAACCACUAUCAUUGGCACCACUUGUGUGAUAAAAACAACUAUGACAGAUACCGAUUCCUUAGAAUGUACCACCACUUGUACACACUCUACCCUGUAGAAACUACUCCUGCAGAAACUACUGCCCUUGGCACAACUCCUGAAAAAACUACUACUCUGGGCACCACUUUUAAAGAAACUACUACCCUUGGACCUGCUUCUAUUAAAACUACACCAUCAGUUAGUUCAACGGGAUUAGUAUUGGAAACAUCCACAUUUGAAAUGAGAACUGCUGAAACAACAACCUCAGUUGUGUCUACACCUGGCAUAGCAUCUGCUGUUGGAAGCACAACGUCUCAAACUGCCACUUGGCACCACCACUGCAGAAACCACUAUCAUUGGCACCACUUGUGUGAUAAAAACAACUAUGACCGAUACCGAUUCCUUAGAAUGUACCACCACUUGUACACACACUACCAUGUAGUAUCUAAUACCCUGGGCACAACUCCUGCAGAAACUACUACUCUGGGCACCACUUCUGUAGAAAGUACAGCUUCAGUUAGUUCAACAGGAUUAGUAUUGGAAAUAUCCACAUUUGAAAUGAGACCUGCUGAAACAACAACCUCAGUUGUGUCUACACCUGGCAUAGCAUCUGCUGUUGGAAGCACAACGUCUCAAACUGCCACUUGGCACCACCACUGCAGAAACCACUAUCAUUGGCACCACUUGUGUGAUAAAAACAACUAUGACCGAUACCGAUUCCUUAGAAUGUACCACCACUUGUACACACACUACCCUGUAGAAACCACUUCUGAAAAAACUACUACCCUUGGCACUGCUUCUGUUGAAACUACACCUUCAGUUAGUUCAACGCAAGUAUUAUUGGAAACAGCCACAUUUGAAAUGAAACCUGCUGAAACAUCAACCUCAGUUGUAUCUACGCCUGGCAUAACAUCUGCUGUUAAUGUCACCACAUCUCAAACUGCCACUUGGCACCACCACUGCAGAAACCACUAUCAUUGGCACCACUUGUGUGAUAAAAACAACUAUGACAGAUACCGAUUCCUUAGAAUGUACCACAUCUUGUACACACACUACCCUGUAGAAACUACUACCCUGGGCACAACUCCUGCAGAAACUACUGCCCUUGGCACAACUCCUGAAGAAACUACUACCCUUGGACCUGCUUCUAUUGAAACUACACCGUCAGUUAGUUCAACGGUAUUAGUAUUGGAAACAUCCACAUUUGAAAUGAGAACUGCUGAAACAACAACCUCAGUUGUAUCUACACCUUUUAUAGCAUCUGCUGUUGGAAGCACAACGUAUCAAACUGCCACUUGGCACCACCACUGCAGAAACCACUAUCAUUUGCACCACUUGUGUGAUAAAAACAACUAUGACAGAUACCGAUUCCUUAGAAUGUACCACGACUUGUACACACACUACCCUGUAGAAACUACUCCUGCAGAAACCACUUCUGUAGAAACUACUCUGGGCACCACUUCUACAGAAACUACUUACCCUACUACGUGA
This 2154-nucleotide long non-coding RNA is filed under the name Sinocyclocheilus grahami. RNAcentral's name for it is "lncRNA (ENSSGRG00000045355.1)". Lineage: Eukaryota; Metazoa; Chordata; Actinopteri; Cypriniformes; Cyprinidae. The record is from RNAcentral.